This 188-nucleotide ribosomal RNA is filed under the name Bacillus sp. LK7. RNAcentral describes it as "partial 16S ribosomal RNA". It matches the Rfam family "Bacterial small subunit ribosomal RNA", at positions 1 to 184 of the family's 1533-position model. Lineage: Bacteria; Bacillati; Bacillota; Bacilli; Caryophanales; Bacillaceae. The record is from RNAcentral.
UUUAUCGGAGAGUUUGAUCCUGGCUCAGGACGAACGCUGGCGGCGUGCCUAAUACAUGCAAGUCGAGCGGACAGAUGGGAGCUUGCUCCCUGAUGUUAGCGGCGGACGGGUGAGUAACACGUGGGUAACCUGCCUGUAAGACUGGGAUAACUCCGGGAAACCGGGGCUAAUACCGGAUGGUUGUCUGA